GGCGGCGUAGCUCAGCCUGGCAGAGCAAGCGGCUCAUACCCGCUAUGUCGUUGGUUCAAAUCCAACCGCCGUCA
RNAcentral lists this transfer RNA (74 nucleotides) under Candidatus Omnitrophota bacterium. Its description in RNAcentral is "tRNA-Met". It matches the Rfam family "tRNA". Rfam says of the family: Transfer RNA (tRNA) molecules are approximately 80 nucleotides in length. The record is from RNAcentral. Lineage: Bacteria; Pseudomonadati; Candidatus Omnitrophota.